AGUGGGCCUCGUACUUGGAUGGGGCGGGAAAUCUAAGGGUGGGAGCUGGGGAGCCGGCAUGCUGUGAGCUGGAAGGACGGAGAGUCAGGAGGAUCACGCUUCAUGGAGGUUGGGGACUACAGCCUGACCACUUUAGGAUACGGUAUAUUCAGAUCAGCCACUUUGCCCUCUGUGAGCCUCCAGUUUCCUCAGAUAAUUGGGUAGUGAGGAUAAAUCCAAAAGAAGCAUGUUAAUCAUCUGGCACAUCACAAGAGGUCUGAAAAUUCAGAGCUUCCUGAGGAACUAAGCUGUACUAAGCAGCAGCAGCAGCGUGGAGCUCACCUGGAAGCUGGCUAGAGCAGCUGAACCAGAGCCUGCCUGUCAACGUCUCCCCAGGUGACCUUGUUGCCCUGAGUGUCUGAGUGUCCAAGCCACCUUUAUCAGGCAUUCCUAUCUCUGUUUUCCUUGGGAAAAGUCUGAGGCUUGGAGACCAUUAGCAGUCAGGUCCUCCUCCUGAAGCUCCACAGUCCUCUUAAGGGCCAUUUUGAGAGCUGGUCUAGGAAAGAACUGACAAGAGGAUCCUGUUAGUCACUCGCCCAGCAGCAUUUUCCAAGCCCCGCUAUGAGGAAAGCACACGAAGAGCCCUGAGGGCACAAACAUGAGCAAGACGUUUGUACCCCGCCUUCCCCACAAAGGUAAACACGCGAUAUGUAACGAUAAUUACACAUGGUGGUAAG
Long non-coding RNA from Tupaia belangeri chinensis (Chinese tree shrew), 716 nucleotides. RefSeq lists it as uncharacterized. NCBI's taxonomy places the organism in Eukaryota, Metazoa, Chordata, Mammalia, Scandentia, Tupaiidae. The record is from RefSeq and is a predicted model, not a curated record. The transcript has 3 exons.